RNAcentral lists this ribosomal RNA (395 nucleotides) under uncultured bacterium. RNAcentral describes it as "partial 16S ribosomal RNA". It matches the Rfam family "Bacterial small subunit ribosomal RNA", at positions 523 to 918 of the family's 1533-position model. The record is from RNAcentral.
AUACGAAGGGGGCUAGCGUUGCUCGGAAUUACUGGGCGUAAAGGGAGCGUAGGCGGACAGUUUAGUCAGAGGUGGAAGCCCAGGGCUCAACCCUGGAAUUGCCUUUGAUACUGGCUGUCUUGAGUACGGGAGAGGUGUGUGGAACUCCGAGUGUAGAGGUGAAAUUCGUAGAUAUUCGGAAGAACGCCAGUGGCGAAGGCGACACACUGGCCCGUUACUGACGCUGAGGCUCGAAAGCGUGGGGAGCAAACAGGAUUAGAUACCCUGGUAGUCCACGCUGUAAACGAUGAGUGCUAGUUGUCGGCAUGCAUGCAUGUCGGUGACGCAGCUAACGCAUUAAGCACUCCGCCUGGGGAGUACGGUCGCAAGAUUAAAACUCAAAGGAAUUGACGGGG